CUCGCUGGAGCGCGGUCGCGCCAUUUUAACUGUACCUACCUGUGAAGUCGAUAGCGUUACGUCCUAACUCCUAACAUCGAUGAAUAUCGUUUAAAUCAAGUUUAAAUAGUCAAAGUAUCUACCUAUUUAGUAAUUAUAAAUUUGAUUAUAAAUCAUUAUAAGUGUCAUCUUGCACCCCGAUAGGGGUCCGACCUUUGGGAUUCGAGACUGAAGAGUGCGACUCCUAGCCCCUUGAUCCUGUGCUGGAAGAGGCUGGCGGCCCGAUCACUCCCCAGGACCAUUCCAGUUUCAUCAGGCUGGACUUCCACAUGGUUCCCGUUCUCGCCGGUGCCCUUGUUCCCUGUUAAACCAGGAGAGUAACGAAAUUCCCCAAAACCAGAUCAGACACUUCGUACCCCGACCGUUAUUUUUUUAUUAUAAUAAAUUGUAAUAUCUG
Aricia agestis (brown argus) is the source of this 436-nucleotide long non-coding RNA. RefSeq lists it as uncharacterized. NCBI's taxonomy places the organism in Eukaryota, Metazoa, Arthropoda, Insecta, Lepidoptera, Lycaenidae. The transcript has 2 exons. The record is from RefSeq and is a predicted model, not a curated record.